GUUCUUGUAGUAUAAUGGUGAGUAUCCUCGCCUGUCACGCGGGAGACCCGGCUUCGAUCCCUGGCAACGGCG
RNAcentral lists this transfer RNA (72 nucleotides) under Ipomoea nil (Japanese morning glory). It matches the Rfam family "tRNA". From Rfam's summary of the family: Transfer RNA (tRNA) molecules are approximately 80 nucleotides in length. The record is from Rfam by way of RNAcentral. Lineage: Eukaryota; Viridiplantae; Streptophyta; Magnoliopsida; Solanales; Convolvulaceae.